Molecule: long non-coding RNA, 750 nt
Organism: Siniperca chuatsi (mandarin fish)
Lineage: Eukaryota; Metazoa; Chordata; Actinopteri; Centrarchiformes; Sinipercidae
Exons: 6
Source: RefSeq, a predicted model, not a curated record
GUGCGCGCGUGCGAGCAUCCCGAGCAGUGAGUGAGUUUGACCUUAAGCUUCUCCUGCCCUCUUUACACUGCCAGCUCUUGUGUACGUUUCCUGGGCCUCCAAGAUAUGAGAGGGGAAAAUAUCUGCCGACAGCCCAUCACAGUUCACGGCUCUUUGUUUAUCCAUUAAUAAUUGAGCACAGCUUUAGACAAUACAAGUUCAAACAGUACUGAGGAGGGAGGUGUGGGUGGAGGCGAGCAGUCCACUUCAGCUCCAAAUCACUGUGCUUUUCCAGAUGCUGCAUGCUAUUGCAUGGUGUAGUGCAACACGUAGUCAAGCUACUGUUGAGCAAGGUGCUUUAACAUGACCUUCUACAAUGGAGUUUUGCUGCUGCUGCUGCUGCUGCUGCUGCUGCUGAGCGUGUCAACAUGGAAUAUGUGUGUCUUCUCCAACUGUCUCUCUACAUCCAUCACGUGUCUAUAGAAGUCCACCCUCCAGCUCACCCAUCAACAUGCCAACAGACAGUCGCACAAUCUGCGGAUGCCACUUCCUUUGAUAUGAUUGGCUGCAAUCGCCUGUUGCCUCAGCCUCAGGCUGGACACCGAUUCAAGGUUGACAGCUCAUCAAGUUGAGUGACAAGCGUUGGGGCGGGAACUCGACCAAAUGAGGGGGAGGAAGGAAGAUCAUUCUCUCUCUCUCUCUCUCUUGAUGUGCCCCUCUCUCUCUCUCUGGUGGAUGGAUGGAUGGAGGCGGAAGCGGCAACGGUGGCAG